GAUGAACGCUGGCGGCGUGCCUAAUACAUGCAAGUCGAGCGAACGGACGAGAAGCUUGCUUCUCUGAUGUUAGCGGCGGACGGGUGAGUAACACGUGGAUAACCUACCUAUAAGACUGGGAUAACUUCGGGAAACCGGAGCUAAUACCGGAUAAUAUUUUGAACCGCAUGGUUCAAAAGUGAAAGACGGUCUUGCUGUCACUUAUAGAUGGAUCCGCGCUGCAUUAGCUAGUUGGUAAGGUAACGGCUUACCAAGGCAACGAUGCAUAGCCGACCUGAGAGGGGGAGCGGCCACACAGGAACGGAGACACGGGCCAGACCCCUACGGGAGGCAGAAGGAGGGAAUAUUCCUCAAGGGGCGCAAGACUGACGGAGCAACGCCGCGUGGGGGAAGAAGGUCUUUGGAUCUUAAAAAAUUUUUUUUAGGGAAGAAAAAAAGUAUGAGUAACUAUCCACGCCCUGACGGUACCUAAAGAAAAAGACACGGCUAACUACGUG
This 497-nucleotide ribosomal RNA is filed under the name uncultured bacterium. RNAcentral's name for it is "partial 16S ribosomal RNA". It matches the Rfam family "Bacterial small subunit ribosomal RNA", at positions 28 to 507 of the family's 1533-position model. The record is from RNAcentral.